GCUUGGCUGGCUCAAGUCAGUGGAGUAUGUGACUCUUGAUCUCAGGGUUGUGAGUUCAAGUCUCAUGUUGAGUG
Molecule: transfer RNA, 74 nt
Filed under: Canis lupus familiaris (dog)
Lineage: Eukaryota; Metazoa; Chordata; Mammalia; Carnivora; Canidae
Also listed under: 1 other name
Rfam family: tRNA
About the family: Transfer RNA (tRNA) molecules are approximately 80 nucleotides in length. Their secondary structure includes four short double-helical elements and three loops (D, anti-codon, and T loops).
Source: Rfam by way of RNAcentral